UACGAAGGGAGCUAGCGUUGUUCGGAAUCACUGGGCGUAAAGGGUGCGCAGGCGGCCGUGUGUGUGAGGCGUGAAAGCCCGGGGCUUAACCCCGGAAUUGCACCUCAAACUACACGGCUAGAGCAUUGGAGAGGUAGCAGAAUUCACGGUGUAGCAGUGAAAUGCGUAGAUAUCGUGAGGAAUACCAGAGGCGAAGGCGGCUACCUGGACAAUUGCUGACGCUCAGGCACGAAAGCGUGGGGAGCAAAAGGG
This 252-nucleotide ribosomal RNA is filed under the name uncultured bacterium. RNAcentral describes it as "partial 16S ribosomal RNA". It matches the Rfam family "Bacterial small subunit ribosomal RNA", at positions 524 to 776 of the family's 1533-position model. The record is from RNAcentral.